GACGAACGCUGGCGGCGUGCUUAACACAUGCAAGUCGAACGGAAAGGCCCUGCUUUUGUGGGGUGCUCGAGUGGCGAACGGGUGAGUAACACGUGAGUAACCUGCCCUUGACUUUGGGAUAACUUCAGGAAACUGGGGCUAAUACCGGAUAGGAGCUCCUGCUGCAUGGUGGGGGUUGGAAAGUUUCGGCGGUUGGGGAUGGACUCGCAGCUUAUCAGCUUGUUGGUGGGGUAGUGGCUUACCAAGGCUUUGACGGGUAGCCGGCCUGAGAGGGUGACCGGCCACAUUGGGACUGAGGUACGGCCCAGACUCCUACGGGAGGCAGCAGUGGGGAAUAUUGCACAAUGGGCGGAAGCCUGAUGCAGCAACGCCGCGUGCGGGAUGACGGCCUUCGGGUUGUAAACCGCUUUCGCCUGUGACGAAGCGUGAGUGACGGUAAUGGGUAAAGAAGCACCGGCUAACUACGUG
RNAcentral lists this ribosomal RNA (468 nucleotides) under uncultured bacterium. Its description in RNAcentral is "partial 16S ribosomal RNA". It matches the Rfam family "Bacterial small subunit ribosomal RNA", at positions 28 to 507 of the family's 1533-position model. The record is from RNAcentral.